RNAcentral lists this non-coding RNA (31 nucleotides) under Mus musculus (house mouse). The record is from RNAcentral. Lineage: Eukaryota; Metazoa; Chordata; Mammalia; Rodentia; Muridae.
UAACCACAAGUCCAGGAUGUAUGGAAGAAAA